Molecule: ribosomal RNA, 497 nt
Filed under: uncultured bacterium
Lineage: Bacteria
Description: partial 16S ribosomal RNA
Rfam family: Bacterial small subunit ribosomal RNA
Source: RNAcentral
GAUGAACGCUGGCGGCGUGCCUAAUACAUGCCAGUCGAGCGAACAGACGAGGAGCUUGCUCCUCUGACGUUAGCGGCGGACGGGUGAGUAACACGUGGAUAACCUACCUAUAAGACUGGGAUAACUUCGGGAAACCGGAGCUAAUACCGGAUAAUAUAUUGAACCGCAUGGUUCAAUAGUGAAAGACGGUUUUGCUGUCACUUAUAGAUGGAUCCGCGCCGCAUUAGCUAGUUGGUAAGGUAACAGCUUACCAAGGCAACGAUGCGUAGCCGACCUGAGAGGGUGAUCGGCCACACUGGAACUGAGACACGGUCCAGACUCCUACGGGAGGCAGUAGUAGGGAAUCUUCCGCAAUGGGCGAAAGCCUGACGGAGCAACGCCGCGUGAGUGAUGAAGGUCUUCGGAUCGUAAAACUCUGUUAUUAGGGAAGAACAAAUGUGUAAGUAACUAUGCACGUCUUGACGGUACCUAAUCAGAAAGCCACGGCUAACUACGUG